UGGGGAAUAUUGCACAAUGGGCGCAAGCCUGAUGCAGCCAUGCCGCGUGUGUGAAGAAGGCCUUCGGGUUGUAAAGCACUUUCAGCGGGGAGGAAGGCGAUAAGGUUAAUAACCUUGUCGAUUGACGUUACCCGCAGAAGAAGCACCGGCCAACUCCGUGCCAGCAGCCGCGGUAAUACGGAGGGUGCAAGCGUUAAUCGGAAUUACUGGGCGUAAAGCGCACGCAGGCGGUUUGUUAAGUCAGAUGUGAAAUCCCCGGGCUCAACCUGGGAACUGCAUUCGAAACUGGCAGGCUAGAGUCUUGUAGAGGGGGGUAGAAUUCCAGGUGUAGCGGUGAAAUGCGUAGAGAUCUGGAGGAAUACCGGUGGCGAAGGCGGCCCCCUGGACAAAGACUGACGCUCAGGUGCGAAAGCGUGGGGAGCAAACAGG
This 429-nucleotide ribosomal RNA is filed under the name Chloroflexota bacterium. Its description in RNAcentral is "Chloroflexi bacterium partial 16S ribosomal RNA". It matches the Rfam family "Bacterial small subunit ribosomal RNA", at positions 355 to 776 of the family's 1533-position model. The record is from RNAcentral. Lineage: Bacteria; Bacillati; Chloroflexota.